AAUGAAGUGCCUGAUUAAAGGAUUACCUUGAUAGGGUAAAAUAUACACUAAAAAUGUCUUCAUUA
This 65-nucleotide transfer RNA is filed under the name Sambus kanssuensis. Its description in RNAcentral is "tRNA-Ile". Lineage: Eukaryota; Metazoa; Arthropoda; Insecta; Coleoptera; Buprestidae. The record is from RNAcentral.